Molecule: small nucleolar RNA, 128 nt
Organism: Meriones unguiculatus (Mongolian gerbil)
Lineage: Eukaryota; Metazoa; Chordata; Mammalia; Rodentia; Muridae
Source: Ensembl
ACUUUCCCCUAGAGGCUUUGCAAGUGUGACUGCUGUGUCACAUGCAUGUCUGUGGUACAGAAAGGAGAGUGGUUAUAUCUAUGCUCAGUGUUCUGACCUGUGAACACCUGAAUGUUUCAACCACCAGU